GCCCUACGGGACGCAGCAGUGGGGAAUAUUGCACAAUGGGGGGAACCCUGAUGCAGCGACGCCGCGUGGGUGAAGGAGUAUUUCGGUAUGUAAAGCCCUAUCAGCAGGGAAGAACAAUGACGGUACCUGACUAAGAAGCACCGGCUAAAUACGUGCCAGCAGCCGCGGUAAUACGUAUGGUGCAAGCGUUAUCCGGAUUUACUGGGUGUAAAGGGGGCGCAGACGGCGAUGCAAGCCAGGAGUGAAAGCCCGGGGCCCAACCCCGGGCCUGCUCUUGGAACUGCGUGGCUAGCGUGCAGGAGGGG
RNAcentral lists this ribosomal RNA (305 nucleotides) under uncultured bacterium. Its description in RNAcentral is "bacterial SSU rRNA". It matches the Rfam family "Bacterial small subunit ribosomal RNA", at positions 335 to 657 of the family's 1533-position model. The record is from RNAcentral.